Non-coding RNA from Salmo salar (Atlantic salmon), 72 nucleotides. NCBI's taxonomy places the organism in Eukaryota, Metazoa, Chordata, Actinopteri, Salmoniformes, Salmonidae. The record is from Rfam.
UCCCGUGUGGCUCAGUUGGUAGAGCAUGGUGUUUGCAACACCAGGGUUGUGGGUUUGAAACCCACAGGGGAC